CUUCACGAGAUGUGACCCGCAACACACCGGCAGCCUGUCGGUGUACAGCACGGCUCCGACCGGUCACGCACCAACCCCAUGUUCGCUGGGUGGUUCGGAUGACGAAGCGGCCUGCAUUUUCGCAGAACAACGAGGUUCUGAAAGGGGACUCGGUGCGGGCAAGAACAACUG
RNAcentral lists this non-coding RNA (171 nucleotides) under Crystallibacter crystallopoietes. RNAcentral describes it as "Arthrobacter crystallopoietes SAM-IV sequence". It matches the Rfam family "SAM (S-adenosyl methionine) riboswitch aptamer". From Rfam's summary of the family: SAM-IV is a mRNA element that regulates gene expression via direct sensing of S-adenosylmethionine (SAM or AdoMet). SAM-IV riboswitches share conserved nucleotide positions with the previously described SAM-I riboswitches sequence analysis and molecular recognition experiments suggest that SAM-I and SAM-IV riboswitches share similar ligand binding sites, but have different scaffolds. Lineage: Bacteria; Bacillati; Actinomycetota; Actinomycetes; Micrococcales; Micrococcaceae. RNAcentral also lists the same sequence under 1 other name. The record is from RNAcentral.